GGCGUUAUCAGCAUACAGGUGCUGGUGAAAGCCUUGAGAUUGGACAAGAUUGUCUAGGACGGAGGAGGAGAGAAUGAGAAGUAGGCUGCAGGCACCACGGUGUAGUGGGAGGGAAAGCAGCCGGUGAAGAGGGUUGAAAAGGAAAGAUCAGCCAGGGCGAGGCCAUGAGCCAGUGGGAAAAGACAGGAGUCCCACGAUGUUGUCCUAACAUUUGAUGGCAGAUUUUCCUUGGAAAGGCAUCUAGGCCAGCUGGCCUCAGGGUAUUGUGUUUCUUACACAUAAGAAGUGUCCUGAGCCUUUCACAGGUAUGUAUUAUCUCUUUUAAUCUUCAUUACCUGUAGGGUGGAUUCUACUAUUCCCCAUUUUAUAGAGAAGGAAACAAAGGCACAAGGUAACUUGCCCAAGGUCCCAUAGUUAGUAAGGCAGAGCUGGGAAUUUAAUGCAGGUAGCCUGGCUCCAGAGCCCCUACACAUCACCACUAUCCUGUAAUAUGUAUCUCUUAAUGACA
Molecule: long non-coding RNA, 508 nt
Filed under: Homo sapiens (human)
Lineage: Eukaryota; Metazoa; Chordata; Mammalia; Primates; Hominidae
Description: HSALNT0037573
Source: RNAcentral